This 481-nucleotide long non-coding RNA is filed under the name Mytilus galloprovincialis (Mediterranean mussel). The record is from RNAcentral. Lineage: Eukaryota; Metazoa; Mollusca; Bivalvia; Mytilida; Mytilidae.
GUUUGAAUGCUUUUUUCUUAUGAUUACAAUAUUAUCCAUGUGUCUGUUAGUCUUUAUCCAUUGUUCGCUUGUCGCAGUUGGGAUGAGACAAUUUCUGUUUUAUCAAAAAUACUGCACUUUUAAACUAGAGAAAAUAUGACUUUAUUUAUCACUUCUAUGUAAAUCAGAUGAAACUUCCAAUAUCGUCGGAGCUUACGCCCCCUUAGAUAUAAGAAGCUUUCAUAUAAUACAUCAUCAAAUUAUAAUUCUUUGAACUGCAUGUAGUCUAUGGUUGCUUGAAGAUAUCUAAAUUUCAAAUCUUUAAUUUUAAUGAUUUUUAACCGGAUUUUUAAAGGAAACUCGGUUAUUGAUGGGGGGAUGUACGACAGGCGGGUGUGACGGGUGGACAUUCGUUUGCCUGCAAAACAGUGUCCGUCUAUUAACAUGAAAACGCUAUGUCAAAAACUAAUAAAUUUGGAGAUGUUGCUUCGACAUGUUCGAC